RNAcentral lists this ribosomal RNA (800 nucleotides) under uncultured soil bacterium. RNAcentral describes it as "bacterial SSU rRNA". It matches the Rfam family "Bacterial small subunit ribosomal RNA", at positions 9 to 825 of the family's 1533-position model. The record is from RNAcentral.
GAGUUUGAUCCUGGCUCAGAAUGAACGUUGGCGGCGUGGAUUAGGCAUGCAAGUCGAGCGAGAACCCCGCAAGGGGGGACAGCGGCAAACGGGGUAGUAAUGUGUCGGAACGUGCCCUCUGGACGGGGAUAGCGGCGGGAAACUGCCGGUAAUACCCGAUGAACUCGAGAGAGCAAAGGUGUGAUUCCGCCGGAGGAGCGGCCGACAUGGUAUUAGCUAGUUGGCGGGGUAACGGCCCACCAAGGCUGUGAUGCCUAGGGGAUGUGAGAGCAUGAUCCCCACCAUUGGGACUGAGACACUGCCCAGACACCUACGGGCGGCUGCAGUCGAGAAUCUUCGUCAAUGGGCGAAAGCCUGAACGAGCGACGCCGCGUGCGGGAUGAAGGCCUUUGGGUUGUAAACCGCUGUCGAGGGGGAUGAAGGCUUGAAGGUACUCCUUCAAGUUUGACAGAGCCCUGGAGGAAGCACGGGCUAAGUUCGUGCCAGCAGCCGCGGUAAUACGAACUGUGCGAACGUUAUUCGGAAUCACUGGGCUUACAGGGUGCGUAGGCGGCUAUUCAGGUCAGGUGUGAAAGCCCCCGGCUCAACCGGGGAACUGCGCUUGAAACCGAAUGGCUCGAGUCAGCUAGAGGGACACGGAACUUCCAGUGGAGCGGUGAAAUGUGUUGAUAUUGGAAGGAACACCGGAGGCGAAAGCGGUGUCCUGGGGCUGGUCUGACGCUGAGGCACGAAAGCCAGGGGAGCGAACGGGAUUAGAUACCCCGGUAGUCCUGGCCGUAAACGAUGAGUGCUGGACGGGA